Molecule: ribosomal RNA, 414 nt
Filed under: Triticum aestivum (bread wheat)
Lineage: Eukaryota; Viridiplantae; Streptophyta; Magnoliopsida; Poales; Poaceae
Description: partial small subunit ribosomal RNA
Source: RNAcentral
CUAGGGGACUUUAAUGAAAUACUUUCGAGUACAGAGAAGGAAGGCGGUGCGGUCCGGCCACAACACUGCAUGGACGGCUUUAGGGAGGCAUUAAACAGAUGCGAGCUGCGGGACAUUGGGUUCGAGGGUGACAUAUACACCUGGAGGAACCAUAACAUUUGUGAACGGUUGGAUAGGGCGACCGCGAACGAGCAAUGGUGUGACAAAUUCCCUGGGUUUGUAGUUGUCAAUGGAGAUCCGCGACAUUCUGAUCAUCAGCCAAUCAUAGUUUGUACGGAGGGUGCGGAGAGUAAUUGGAGUAGGGGAGACUCAGGAUUCAGAUUUGAAGCACGCUGGCUGCAAGAGGAAGGUUGCACUGAUGUGAUUCGAGAGGCCUGGAAUGCGAGCAGGAGGGGGGGGGGAAUGAAGGAGUAG